This 412-nucleotide ribosomal RNA is filed under the name uncultured Lactobacillus sp. RNAcentral describes it as "bacterial SSU rRNA". It matches the Rfam family "Bacterial small subunit ribosomal RNA", at positions 58 to 446 of the family's 1533-position model. Lineage: Bacteria; Bacillati; Bacillota; Bacilli; Lactobacillales; Lactobacillaceae. The record is from RNAcentral.
CGAGUCUGCCUUGAAGAUCGGAGUGCUUGCACUCUGUGAAACAAGAUACAGGCUAGCGGCGGACGGGUGAGUAACACGUGGGUAACCUGCCCAAGAGAUCGGGAUAACACCUGGAAACAGAUGCUAAUACCGGAUAACAACAGAUGAUGCCUAUCAACUGUUUAAAAGAUGGUUCCGCUAUCACUCUUGGAUGGACCUGCGGUGCAUUAGCUAGUUGGUAGGGUAACGGCCUACCAAGGCGAUGAUGCAUAGCCGAGUUGAGAGACUGAUCGGCCACAUUGGGACUGAGACACGGCCCAAACUCCUACGGGAGGCAGCAGUAGGGAAUCUUCCACAAUGGACGCAAGUCUGAUGGAGCAACGCCGCGUGAGUGAAGAAGGGUUUCGGCUCGUAAAGCUCUGUUGUUGGUGAA